Molecule: non-coding RNA, 75 nt
Organism: Euryarchaeota archaeon 13_1_20CM_4_64_14
Lineage: Archaea; Methanobacteriati; Methanobacteriota
Source: Rfam
GGACCCGUCGCCUAGCACGGAUAGGGCACCGGAUUUCUAAUCCGGCUGUCGAGGGUUCGAAUCCCUCCGGGUCCG